UGGGGAAUAUUGCACAAUGGGCGCAAGCCUGAUGCAGCCAUGCCGCGUGUAUGAAGAAGGCCUUCGGGUUGUAAAGUACUUUCAGCGGGGAGGAAGGCGAUAAGGUUAAUAACCUUGUCGAUUGACGUUACCCGCAGAAGAAGCACCGGCUAACUCCGUGCCAGCAGCCGCGGUAAUACGGAGGGUGCAAGCGUUAAUCGGAAUUACUGGGCGUAAAGCGCGCGCAGGCGGUCUGUCAAGUCGGAUGUGAAAUCCCCGGGCUCAACCUGGGAACUGCAUUCGAAACUGGCAGGCUAGAGUCUUGUAGAGGGGGGUAGAAUUCCAGGUGUAGCGGUGAAAUGCGUAGAGAUCUGGAGGAAUACCGGUGGCGAAGGCGGCCCCCUGGACAAAGACUGACGCUCAGGUGCGAAAGCGUGGGGAGCGAACA
Molecule: ribosomal RNA, 427 nt
Filed under: uncultured bacterium
Lineage: Bacteria
Description: partial 16S ribosomal RNA
Rfam family: Bacterial small subunit ribosomal RNA
Source: RNAcentral